RNAcentral lists this ribosomal RNA (254 nucleotides) under uncultured bacterium. Its description in RNAcentral is "partial 16S ribosomal RNA". It matches the Rfam family "Bacterial small subunit ribosomal RNA", at positions 524 to 776 of the family's 1533-position model. The record is from RNAcentral.
GACGUAGGGCGCGAGCGUUGUCCGGAUUUAUUGGGCGUAAAGAGCUCGUAGGCGGUGUGUCGCGUCGGCCGUGAAAACCUGGGGCUCAACUCUGGGCGUGCGGUCGAUACGGGCAUCACUUGAGUUCGGCAGGGGAGACUGGAAUUCCUGGUGUAGCGGUGAAAUGCGCAGAUAUCAGGAGGAACACCGGUGGCGAAGGCAGAUCUCUGGGCCGUAACUGACGCUGAGGAGCGAAAGCAUGGGGAGCGAACAGG